GAGACACUUAACUGUUUCACAGUCAAUGAUUUACACCCGGGAGUGGAGACAGACCGCCAAAGCUUUGCUGGGCUGAGCCCAUCAUAACUGUACGCUGGACUGAAAAGAAGACUAUAAUACGAUGGUCUUCCUAUACUAGAGGGGAACUUCAAAGUGAACCACAACAGCAGUAGCACGAACUGUGUGAGCAGCAGCUACAGCUUAAAAGUGGAUCCACAGAAACAUCCUCAUGGAAUGUUGACAAGGCGCUGUCUCAAGGGGAAUGAGGGCAGACGUUUUGUUGCGGCACGCAUAGGCAGACCAUGACUGUUACGUCUUGGAACACACCUCUGGAGUACCUAAAUACAGGCUCGGGAGAGGCGAAGGUCAAAAUAUGCAUCCUUCAAAACAUGACCCGCCAAGCCACGCUUCUUAACACCUGCCCGCUUACCCCGGAAGCCAACUGCACCAGUGUGUGGGAGUAAACAUUGUUCAACUGACGACUGAAGUCAGCCUGCAGGUGCCCGGCACGGCACAAGGAGUCACUAGAGCACGA
Salvelinus namaycush (lake trout) is the source of this 535-nucleotide long non-coding RNA. RefSeq lists it as uncharacterized. The transcript is spliced from 3 exons. NCBI's taxonomy places the organism in Eukaryota, Metazoa, Chordata, Actinopteri, Salmoniformes, Salmonidae. The record is from RefSeq and is a predicted model, not a curated record.